CCCUAGAUGUUGCUGAACUACAACUCCCAUGAUUCUUUGAAUUACAUAGGUAGCCAGAGAGUCAUGGGAGUUGUAGUUCAGCAACAUCUGGGG
RNAcentral lists this microRNA precursor (93 nucleotides) under Pelobates cultripes (western spadefoot toad). Lineage: Eukaryota; Metazoa; Chordata; Amphibia; Anura; Pelobatidae. The record is from RNAcentral.